This 242-nucleotide ribosomal RNA is filed under the name uncultured bacterium. RNAcentral's name for it is "partial 16S ribosomal RNA". It matches the Rfam family "Bacterial small subunit ribosomal RNA", at positions 89 to 334 of the family's 1533-position model. The record is from RNAcentral.
UGGCGACCGGCGCACGGGUGAGUAACACGUAUCCAACCUGCCGAUGACUCGGGGAUAGCCUUUCGAAAGAAAGAUUAAUACCCGAUGGCAUAGUUCUUCCGCAUGGUAGAACUAUUAAAGAAUUUCGGUCAUCGAUGGGGAUGCGUUCCAUUAGGUUGUUGCGGGUAACGGCCCACCAAGCCUUCGAUGGAUAGGGGUUCUGAGAGGAAGGUCCCCCACAUUGGAACUGAGACACGGUCCAA